CAUCUGAGAGAGCGAGGGAAGGGAGGGAGGCGCCCUCCAUGGGGACUCUGCAUGCACCAUCCUCGCCCCAUCCAGCUCGUCAGCAUCUUGGGUGUGAGCAGGCGUACACCUGCGUGUUUUCAGGCCAACUCAAGCAUCUGAACUCAUGGUCAGCUGUGUAGUGUCCACACCGCCCUACCCUUCCUUAGUCCUGUUCACCCUGUCUUCAGUGUCCUCAGUGCUCCGGUCCCAGGUAGCUAUGAGGAACUGAACCGGAAGACCAGGCUCUUGAUUAUGCGUUUCAAUCUCAUUAAAGCGAAACCAUUCCAGAAAUAUUUACACUAUACAGGGAAACAGCUGGGAGCUAAAUGCCUUCGCUCAGCUCAAGAAACCGAACCUAACAGGAUCUCAGUUGCUGAGGCAGAAAGAUGAGGCACGGGCAGAUAUUUCUGCUCCCUACUCUGACGUUUUCCCCAAAGAUGGGAAGAAGGAUGUCCGGGAAGAACAAUGGGCCAGCUGCUGGACUUGAAUUUGGAAACACCAAUGAAGGAGGAAACUGCUACUGGGGCGUGAGUGAAUUUGUUCAAGCUAUGCCACCUUGUCCUCCCAGGGGCCACUCGAAGUCUGAGUCAGUGGCAAGGAUGGAAACAUCGAGGCUCUAUUGAGGAGGUGGAAAUCCAAGCAGGAGUCAGGUGGUCCCAGUGCAGCUCUUAGGCCCUGCACAGAGGGGCCUGGAGCUCACAUGGCCAACAGCGGCUGAAGCCCUGGUCCCAUCAGCUGGAGAAACACACUGGCAGAUUUUGGUAUCCCUUCCCCGGACUGCUAGCAGAAAGUCUGAUUUCCUCAAUUUUCCAAGGUACGGCGGGGAGCGCGGGGAGAGGGCGCCGACGGCUCAGCCAGCAGCAGAAACGAAGAGGACAGACGGAAAGGGGACUUUUAUUUUUUUUAAGAGGCUUUUCUUUUGGUGGAAAUGUGGUUGCUUUGGUUGACAAAGCUAAUGCGGUCACAGUUGUGCCUCUUUGCUCCGGGAGUUUUAUUUUGCCUGAACCACACUGUUCCUUGACCCUUCCUUUCGUAAUCUCACCGGCCAGAGGCUGUCUUGUUUCCAGUCUUGCUUCAGUGGUUCCUGAAAGCACUUUCUGAGGGCAGAGGGGUAGGAGUCAAGCGAGGAGGGGUGGAGAGUCGUUUGCAUGCUGGAUGGGAUCUGCUUGAGCUGAUCCAUGCAAGAAAACCUGGAUUCUCAUCUACGCUCUUCGCACCCAUCCCUGAGCUGGCUCUGGAGACAGGUGCUGGACACCGCAGGGUGCCCCGCCUUCACAGCCAUCACCAGCCCAACCAGGCAGCAGUGCUUGCACGGCCUGGGUCACCUGUCAGUCAGGACAAGUCAGAGGUGCUGUGCUUUCUGAACACUGCUCAUCUGAGUCACACAGAACUCACUCCUGGCCACGGGCGGGAGGUCAAAAGAUUGAAUGUGACCUCGGGGUUAUUUGGCGCAGACCCUUGACCGUAUCCAACAGACAUGGACAAUCACUUAUGGAGGGGCCAGAUGGGGGUACAGCCGAAACGGAGCAGGCUGUGAGGCUGACCCACACGGAGUCUCUGGGUUCGGGUCUGGGAACCUCCCUGAACACACUGGCUGUGAGUGUGCCCCUAAUCUGGGGCUGCCUGAAGC
Molecule: long non-coding RNA, 1651 nt
Organism: Tupaia belangeri chinensis (Chinese tree shrew)
Lineage: Eukaryota; Metazoa; Chordata; Mammalia; Scandentia; Tupaiidae
Exons: 3
Source: RefSeq, a predicted model, not a curated record